Non-coding RNA from Otolemur garnettii (small-eared galago), 459 nucleotides. NCBI's taxonomy places the organism in Eukaryota, Metazoa, Chordata, Mammalia, Primates, Galagidae. The record is from the annotation of a RefSeq genome assembly.
CCUGUCAUGAGCAUUGACCUCUUAUGCUGUGUGGCUCUUUGCCUUCUGUGGGCAGGCUUGAAUGCUAGUGUCACCCAGAUCCCCAAAUUCCAGAUCCUGGUGACAGGACAGAACGUGACACUGGAAUGUGCCCAGGAUAUGAACUAUGACUCCAUGUACUGGUAUCGACAGGAUCUUGGGCUGGGACUGAGGCUGAUCCAUUACUCUGCUGUUGCUGGUGCCACUGACAAAGGCGAAGUCCCUGAUGACUACAGUGUGUCUAGAUUGAGUAAAGGGUCCUUCUCCCUCACUCUGGACUCUGCCACCCCCUCCCAGACAUCUGUGUACUUCUGUGCGGGCAGUUAUCCACAGCACUGCACAGCUGCCUCCUCUCUGCGCAGAAAGGCAGGGCAGGCUCUGCACCCCAGAGCUCAUUGGUGCCCUUGGCAGAGCUCUCAGCACCAAGACCCAGAGCCCUGA